AUGAGUUCACAUGCGUACAAUUUAGGACAAAAAUUAUUGGUGCACAAGGUGGCCACCAUCGUCGCUGUUUGCAUUGUGCUCGUCCUCAACAUGUGUCACCCGGCGGCAGCCACAGAAUGUGAAGAUUGUCUGGGCGCCUGUGUUGCAAUUUGCAUCGCCUACACUGAAACGACGUGCAGCGGCAUCUGCACCGUCAUAACUUUUGCAUGCCAGGAAUGUAAGGACGCAGCCUUAAUUGAGUGUGGUGCAACAUGCUACGGCGGUUGUACCCUCUUCUGCUAA
This 282-nucleotide ribosomal RNA is filed under the name Triticum aestivum (bread wheat). RNAcentral's name for it is "partial small subunit ribosomal RNA". The record is from RNAcentral. Lineage: Eukaryota; Viridiplantae; Streptophyta; Magnoliopsida; Poales; Poaceae.